Molecule: long non-coding RNA, 207 nt
Filed under: Gallus gallus (chicken)
Lineage: Eukaryota; Metazoa; Chordata; Aves; Galliformes; Phasianidae
Source: RNAcentral
CAGGGAUACAGGAAAUCUUCCUAAAUGAGCAGCUCCAACAACUGCUGGAUGCAGGUGAAGGAUGUAUUAAAAUUUCCAGUUGCUAUGCUUGCAACAACAAGAAAUUGAAACAUGACUGCAAGCAAAGUAGUGACAUCUGGCCGAGCCUUGGAGAGAAGCAGAGAAGCUUACAUUUCAUACUGACCGUAAUUUUAUUCCUUUUCCACA